CCUACGGGUGGCAGCAGUAGGGAAUCUUCCACAAUGGGCGAAAGCCUGAUGGAGCAACGCCGCGUGGGUGAAGAAGGUCUUCGGAACGUAAAACCCUGUUGUUAGAGAAGAAAGUGCUUGAGAGUAACUGUUCACGUUUCGACGGUAUCUAACCAGAACGCCACGGCUAACUACGUGCAAGCAGCCGCGGUAAUACGUAGGUGGCAAGCGUUAUCCGGAGUUAUUUGGCGUAAGGGGAUCGCAGGCGGUGGGGCAAGUCAGCGGUCAAAGUGCGGGGCUCAACCCCGUACUGCCGUUGAAACUGCAUCCCUUGAGUGCGAGAGAAGUAUGCGGAAUGCGUGGUGUAGCGGUGAAAUGCAUAGAUAUCACGCAGAACUCCGAUUGCGAAGGCAGCAUACCGGCGCGAAACUGACGCUCAUGCACGAAAGCGUGGGUAUCGAACAGGAUUAGAUACCCCAGUAGUC
RNAcentral lists this ribosomal RNA (464 nucleotides) under uncultured bacterium. Its description in RNAcentral is "partial 16S ribosomal RNA". It matches the Rfam family "Bacterial small subunit ribosomal RNA", at positions 338 to 795 of the family's 1533-position model. The record is from RNAcentral.